Molecule: ribosomal RNA, 497 nt
Filed under: uncultured bacterium
Lineage: Bacteria
Description: partial 16S ribosomal RNA
Rfam family: Bacterial small subunit ribosomal RNA
Source: RNAcentral
GAUGAACGCUGGCGGCGUGCCUAAUACAUGCAAGUCGAGCGAACGGACGAGAAGCUUGCUUCUCUGAUGUUAGCGGCGGACGGGUGAGUAACACGUGGAUAACCUACCUAUAAGACUGGGAUAACUUCGGGAAACCGGAGCUAAUACCGGAUAAUAUUUUGAACCGCAUGGUUCAAAAGUGAAAGACGGUCUUGCUGUCACUUAUAGAUGGAUCCGCGCUGCAUUAGCUAGUUGGUAAGGUAACGGCUUACCAAGGCUACGAUGCAUAGCCGACCUGAGAGGGUGAUCGGCCACACUGGAGCUGAGACACGGUCCAGACUCCUACGGGAGGCAGCAGUAGGGAAUCUUCCGCAAUGGGCGAAAGCCUGACGGAGCAACGCCGCGUGAGUGAUGAAGGUCUUCGGAUCGUAAAACUCUGUUAUUAGGGAAGAUCAUAUGUGUAAGUAACUGUGCACAUCUUGACGGUACCUAAUCAGAAAGCCACGGCUAACUACGUG